Molecule: long non-coding RNA, 364 nt
Organism: Clupea harengus (Atlantic herring)
Lineage: Eukaryota; Metazoa; Chordata; Actinopteri; Clupeiformes; Clupeidae
Source: Ensembl
GAUGUGCAUGUUGAUGUGCCCUUUAGAUCUCUGUCUCCCUCUUGUGGCCUGGCUGAAACAAACACCAAUGAGCACUGGGACCAGUCUGAUGGGGGAGGACUUCCUAUCUAUGAAACCAUUCCACUCACAGAGCUGAACAGACCAGAAAGCCAACAACAGCAAUGCUCCAGUCAGGAAGUAGGCCAGGACCAAAACCAGCCUGGGGGAGGUGAAGGGGACCAGUCUGCCUACAUGCCACUACAGGGGGGUCAUGGAGAUGUCUAUGAGACAAUUACUGUGCAGGACUGAAAAAGAUACAAGUAUAGUAUAUUUAAAUGAUUUACUUAUUUUUUGCCAUAUUUUAAUUAAUUUCAAAAUAGUGCAG